Non-coding RNA from Pangasianodon gigas (Mekong giant catfish), 74 nucleotides. The record is from the annotation of a GenBank genome assembly. NCBI's taxonomy places the organism in Eukaryota, Metazoa, Chordata, Actinopteri, Siluriformes, Pangasiidae.
GGCACGGUGGCUUAGUGGUUAGCACUGUGGCCAUGCACCUCUGGGGUUGUGGGUUUCAAAUCCCGCCUCUGCUC